Molecule: ribosomal RNA, 359 nt
Filed under: Chromis atripectoralis (black-axil chromis)
Lineage: Eukaryota; Metazoa; Chordata; Actinopteri; Pomacentridae
Description: partial 12S ribosomal RNA
Rfam family: Bacterial small subunit ribosomal RNA
Source: RNAcentral
CCCUCUCUUGUUUUUCCCGCCUAUAUACCGCCGUCGUCAGCUUACCCUGUGAGGGACCCAUAGUAAGCAUAAUUGGUACAACCCAAAACGUCAGGUCGAGGUGUAGCUAAUGAGAGGGGAAGAAAUGGGCUACAUUUCCUACAGCAGGAAACACGGACAAUGUUCUGAAACGGACAUUAGAAGGAGGAUUUAGUAGUAAGCAGGAAACAGAGCGUUCCGCUGAAAAUGGCCCUAAAGCGCGCACACACCGCCCGUCACUCUCCCCAAGCUAACAAAAACCCAUACCUAAAAGCCCACAUCUGCAAAGGGGAGGCAAGUCGUAACAUGGUAAGUGUACCGGAAGGUGCACUUGGAAAAAU